GAGGGAGCUUGCUCCCAAAGAUUAGCGGCGGACGGGUGAGUAACACGUGGGUAACCUGCCUGUAAGAUUGGGAUAACUCCGGGAAACCGGAGCUAAUACCGGAUAACAUUUUGAACCGCAUGGUUCGAAAUUGAAAGAUGGUUUCGGCUAUCACUUACAGAUGGACCCGCGGCGCAUUAGCUAGUUGGUGAGGUAACGGCUCACCAAGGCAACGAUGCGUAGCCGACCUGAGAGGGUGAUCGGCCACACUGGGACUGAGACACGGCCCAGACUCCUACGGGAGGCAGCAGUAGGGAAUCUUCCGCAAUGGACGAAAGUCUGACGGAGCAACGCCGCGUGAACGAUGAAGGCCUUCGGGUCGUAAAGUUCUGUUGUUAGGGAAGAACAAGUACCAGAGUAACUGCUGGUACCUUGACGGUACCUAACCAGAAAGCCACGGCUAACUACGUGCCAGCAGCCGCGGUAAUACGUAGGUGGCAAGCGUUGUCCGGAAUUAUUGGGCGUAAAGCGCGCGCAGGCGGUUUCUUAAGUCUGAUGUGAAAGCCCACGGCUCAACCGUGGAGGGUCAUUGGAAACUGGGGAACUUGAGUGCAGAAGAGGAGAGUGGAAUUCCACGUGUAGCGGUGAAAUGCGUAGAGAUGUGGAGGAACACCAGUGGCGAAGGCGACUCUCUG
Molecule: ribosomal RNA, 674 nt
Filed under: Metabacillus halosaccharovorans
Lineage: Bacteria; Bacillati; Bacillota; Bacilli; Caryophanales; Bacillaceae
Description: bacterial SSU rRNA
Rfam family: Bacterial small subunit ribosomal RNA
Source: RNAcentral